RNAcentral lists this ribosomal RNA (451 nucleotides) under uncultured bacterium. RNAcentral's name for it is "bacterial SSU rRNA". It matches the Rfam family "Bacterial small subunit ribosomal RNA", at positions 335 to 799 of the family's 1533-position model. The record is from RNAcentral.
ACUCCUACGGGAGGCAGCAGUGGGGGAAUCUUGCGCAAUGGGCGAAAGCCUGACGCAGCCAUGCCGCGUGAAUGAUGAAGGUCUUAGGAUUGUAAAAUUCUUUCACCGGGGACGAUAAUGACGGUACCCGGAGAAGAAGCCCCGGCUAACUUCGUGCCAGCAGCCGCGGUAAUACGAAGGGGGCUAGCGUUGCUCGGAAUUACUGGGGCGUAAAGGGAGCGUAGGCGGACAUUUAAGUCAGGGGUGAAAUCCCGGGGGCUCAACCUCGGAAUUGCCUUUGAUACUGGAUGUCUUGAGUGUGAGAGAGGUAUGUGGAACUCCGAGUGUAGAGGUGAAAUUCGUAGAUAUUCGGAAGAACACCAGUGGCGAAGGCGACAUACUGGCUCAUUACUGACGCUGAGGCUCGAAAGCGUGGGGAGCAAACAGGAUUAGAUACCCUGGUAGGAUAGCG